This 229-nucleotide ribosomal RNA is filed under the name Vibrio parahaemolyticus. RNAcentral describes it as "partial 16S ribosomal RNA". It matches the Rfam family "Bacterial small subunit ribosomal RNA", at positions 1 to 218 of the family's 1533-position model. The record is from RNAcentral. Lineage: Bacteria; Pseudomonadati; Pseudomonadota; Gammaproteobacteria; Vibrionales; Vibrionaceae.
AAAUUGAAGAGUUUGAUCAUGGCUCAGAUUGAACGCUGGCGGCAGGCCUAACACAUGCAAGUCGAGCGGAAACGAGUUAUCUGAACCUUCGGGGAACGAUAACGGCGUCGAGCGGCGGACGGGUGAGUAAUGCCUAGGAAAUUGCCCUGAUGUGGGGGAUAACCAUUGGAAACGAUGGCUAAUACCGCAUAAUGCCUACGGGCCAAAGAGGGGGACCUUCGGGCCUCUC